GACGAACGCUGGCGGCGUGCCUAAUACAUGCAAGUAGAACGCUGAAGCGAGGAGCUUACUCUUCUUGGAUGAGUUGCGAACGGGUGAGUAACGCGUAGGUAACCUGCCUUGUAGCGGGGGAUAACUAUUGGAAACGAUAGCUAAUACCGCAUAACAAUGGAUGACACAUGUCAUUUAUUUGAAAGGGGCAAUUGCUCCACUACAAGAUGGACCUGCGUUGUAUUAGCUAGUAGGUGAGGUAAUGGCUCACCUAGGCGACGAUACAUAGCCGACCUGAGAGGGUGAGCGGCCACACUGGGACUGAGACACGGCCCAGACUCCUACGGGAGGCAGCAGUAGGGAAUCUUCGGCAAUGGGGGCAACCCUGACCGAGCAACGCCGCGUGAGUGAAGAUGGUUGUCGGAUCGUAAAGCUCUGUUGUAAGUCAAGAACGGGUGUGAGAGUGGAAAGUUCACACUGUGACGGUAGCUUACCAGAAAGGGACGGCUAACUACGUG
This 497-nucleotide ribosomal RNA is filed under the name uncultured bacterium. RNAcentral describes it as "partial 16S ribosomal RNA". It matches the Rfam family "Bacterial small subunit ribosomal RNA", at positions 28 to 507 of the family's 1533-position model. The record is from RNAcentral.